Molecule: long non-coding RNA, 396 nt
Organism: Oncorhynchus kisutch (coho salmon)
Lineage: Eukaryota; Metazoa; Chordata; Actinopteri; Salmoniformes; Salmonidae
Exons: 3
Source: RefSeq, a predicted model, not a curated record
UGCAGGUUUCAGUUCCAUACAGCCAAAGAUGGCUCAUCAGCUGAUAAAAUGCCCAAGUCGUUUUAGUGGACAGAGAAAAGUUAGAAAUUACUCUAGCAAUAUCUUCACGUUGCUAGUGAAUGCAGCUACCUAGUUUAUCCUACCUGGCUCAGAGGGAUGAUAUGUAUGCCAGCCGGCUAUGGCUAUCCAACACCGGAACUCUUCCAAGUCAAGGAGCAAGAAUCAAGUUGGAUAAACCAAGGAGAGGUACCUUGAACAAAAAAGAAAAUAAUUUAAAAAGAAAAACAUGUCUUAUUCAACAUUGAAUGUUUUGUCAAGAUAUUGAAAUUCAAGUCAUUAACAUGGGCAUCAUAUUUGUCUUUCAUUUCACUGUCAUACUUCAUCUAUAGAAUAAAA